UAAUGCCAGCAGUUAAGAUCAGUGUGAGUGAAGCGAGCCCGAGUCUUCCUGGAGCUUGUGGCAAUGUGCUUGCUUCCCUGAGCCAUGGACGCCAAAGGCAGACUUCCCUGGAGGCUGGAGCUCAUUGGUACCUCCAAGUCAAUUCUUUGGGAAUCAAGACGCAAUGAACAGAAUGAGAAGUUCUGACUCUGUCCCUCUGCCUUUUCCAGAGCAGCCAUGAGCAGGAAGAGGGAGGCACUGCACCUCUCCUGCCCUACCCGAGCCCUUCUGAGACCUUCCAUGGCAGAGUUCCUGGUCACCGCAGUCACCACGGACCACUCUGCUUGCAGAAGAAAACUGUGCGUGCUCUCAUCAGCCUGGGGCUGCCUAAUCACCUCCUGAUUUAGAGAAUCCUUAAGUCAAAACAAGGAAUACUAGCUGAAAUCACUGUGUUGUUUGUCCACAUUUGCUUGUAAGACGGGCAGCACCCACACCCGGUGACCACCAAGCCCCCUGGGUUUCCCUGGUCUCUGCUGCUCUGCCCCCUGUAAAGCUUACCCCACCCAAACCCUGCACACCCUUCAACUGCUCAGACAACACCAAGCUGUUCCUGCGUGCCCCACCUGGAAGCAGUGCCUCCUCGCCUCACCCCCUUUCUAAUCAUCUAAGAACUGGUUAAAGACAGCAGCGAGAUUUCCCAUAUACCCCUCACCCAGGGUCCCCUGGGUUAAUAUCCCACGUUACUGUGGUGCAUUUGCCAAAACUAAGAAACCUACCUUGGUCCACAAUGAUGCACUAAACUUCACACUUCAUUCAGAUGUCCUUGAUUUUCCCUCAAGUCCUUUUUCUGUCCCAGAAUCCCCUCUAGGAUGCACAUUACCUUCAGCUGUCACUUCUCCUUAGGUGCCCCUGAUCUGUGACAGCUCCUCGACCUUUCCUUGUUUUUCAUGUUCCUGACACGUUGGAGGACUGCUGGUGAGGUAUUUUGUGCAGUGCCUCCGUUUGGGUCUGUCUGAUGCUUUUUCUCAUGCUUAGGAAGGGGAUGGGUUUCUGGGAGGAAGAGCAUAGAGGGGAAGUGCCCCCAUCCUCAUCAUUACCCCUUGCUCUUUAGUACUUACUGCCACAUUCUCCUAGCCUCUCUUCCUGCUUCUUGGGUUCCAUCCGUCCUCUACAGAGCGUGUCACAAGAAGUACCCACCUUCUUAUACACAUGCCUGAGUGCAUGCCAUGUGCCAGGCAUCAUGCCAUCCCUGAGGGUCCUAAGAUACCACCAGAGGAUGAUUACAGUACCAAAUGCCUUUUCCUGGGUCCUUGGGUCUUGGUGACCUAAGAGAUUCAAGGACCAGGGAAGGUGUCCCACUACAUGGCGAGGUCUCGGGU
RNAcentral lists this long non-coding RNA (1358 nucleotides) under Sus scrofa (pig). Its description in RNAcentral is "lncRNA (ENSSSCG00040046078.1)". Lineage: Eukaryota; Metazoa; Chordata; Mammalia; Artiodactyla; Suidae. The record is from RNAcentral.